UGCAAGUCGAGCGAUGAAGCUGGAGCUUGCUCCGGCCGAUUAGUGGCGAACGGGUGAGUAACACGUGAGCAAUCUGCCCUUGACUCUGGGAUAACUGCGGGAAACUGUAGCUAAUACCGGAUACUUUCCUCGCUGGGCAUCCAGCGGGGAAGAAAGAAUUUCGGUCAAGGAUGAGCUCGCGGCCUAUCAGCUAGUUGGUGAGGUAAAGGCUCACCAAGGCGACGACGGGUAGCCGGCCUGAGAGGGUGACCGGCCACACUGGAACUGAGACACGGUCCAGACUCCUACGGGAGGCAGCAGUGGGGAAUAUUGCACAAUGGGCGAAAGCCUGAUGCAGCAACGCCGCGUGAGGGAUGAAGGCCUUCGGGUUGUAAACCUCUUUUAGCAGGGAAGAAGCGAAAGUGACGGUACCUGCAGAAAAAGCACCGGCUAACUACGUGCCAGCAGCCGCGGUAAUACGUAGGGUGCAAGCGUUGUCCGGAAUUAUUGGGCGUAAAGAGCUCGUAGGCGGUUUGUCACGUCUGCUGUGAAAAUCCGAGGCUCAACCUCGGACUUGCAGUGGGUACGGGCAGGCUAGAGUGCGGUAGGGGAGAAGGGAAUUCCUGGUGUAGCGGUGGAAUGCGCAGAUAUCAGGAGGAACACCAAUGGCGAAGGCACUUCUCUGGGCCGUAACUGACGCUGAGGAGCGAAAGCGUGGGGAGCGAACAGGAUUAGAUACCCUGGUAGUCCACGCCGUAAACGGUGGGUGCUAGCUGUGGGCCACAUUCCACGUGGUCCGU
RNAcentral lists this ribosomal RNA (779 nucleotides) under uncultured Actinomycetes bacterium. RNAcentral's name for it is "bacterial SSU rRNA". It matches the Rfam family "Bacterial small subunit ribosomal RNA", at positions 56 to 844 of the family's 1533-position model. The record is from RNAcentral. Lineage: Bacteria; Bacillati; Actinomycetota; Actinomycetes.